UGCAGAGAAGUUCGGGGCCUGGUGGACAGGGCUUGGACCUUACAGUCUGGAAGAUCUGAUUUCAAGCCCUGCUGAUGAGGAGGGGAUGGAGGCUUCUCACAGAAUACUGGAAGACCACUGGGGACCAGGAUGAGUAGAGCUGGGAGGAAAAAGUUGAAAAAAAAGAGCAAAUCAGCAAUGGAGACUGUGAUGGUGAAGAUAAAAGGAAGAACAGACAAGGUGACGUCUUCCUAUAUUGUCACCUAACAGCCUACACUGGUCAGACUGGGUACUUUGUGGGUGUGACUGGCAAGAAGAUGAACUAAAAAUUAGGUUAACCUGA
Molecule: long non-coding RNA, 322 nt
Organism: Phascolarctos cinereus (koala)
Lineage: Eukaryota; Metazoa; Chordata; Mammalia; Diprotodontia; Phascolarctidae
Source: RefSeq, a predicted model, not a curated record